RNAcentral lists this ribosomal RNA (254 nucleotides) under uncultured bacterium. RNAcentral's name for it is "partial 16S ribosomal RNA". It matches the Rfam family "Bacterial small subunit ribosomal RNA", at positions 524 to 776 of the family's 1533-position model. The record is from RNAcentral.
UACGGGGGGGGCAAGCGUUGUUCGGAAUUACUGGGCGUAAAGGGCGCGUAGGCGGCCUGCUAAGUCGGACGUGAAAUCCCUCGGCUCAACCGGGGAACUGCGUCCGAUACUGGCGAGGCUCGAAUCCGGGAGAGGAAUGCGGAAUUCCAGGUGUAGCGGUGAAAUGCGUAGAUAUCUGGAGGAACACCGGUGGCGAAGGCGGCAUUCUGGACCGAUAUUGACGCUGAGGAGCGAAAGCCAGGGGAGCAAACGGG